UUCAGUGUCGUAACAUUGUAAAGUUACAUUCGCUUCUGUACCAUGUUAUCUUGCUUUUUCACACCCACACACUCAUCUUCAUUUUUUGUGCUUUGCUUAUUACUUGGUAACCAGGACAUGAGUUCUAGUCUCUCUAGCAAAGUUUGGAGCUUGACUCAUGCUCAUUAAUCUCGGGCUACAAACUCCUUAUCAUUAUGUUAUUGGUGUGAUUCAAGCCCGUUUUGAGACAGCACCUGUUGGAUUCCUCACGUGUAGUACCCUCACGUUCGGCUCUCCAGCGAGUAGAGGCUCUUUUGGUCACCUCCAAGAAGGGUUGCUACAUGUUGUUGGCCCUCUCUUACCUUUUUCUCAAGUGAAGUCUAACCAAGUUAUCCAAAGUCUGCAACAACAUCUGUGAGAAAUGGCAGGGAAGAAAUUUCACCUUUCGAUUUUGUUGUGGGAGAUGUUGUUUGCUUGAAGAUUGGUGACCAAGUUCCAGCUGACGGAUUGUUCAUAGACGGGCACUCGCUACAAGUUGAUGAAUCAAGCAUGACACGGAAAAGAGAUCGUGUAGAAGUUAAUCUAAGCCAAAAUCCUUUCUUGUUCUCUAGCGCCAAGGUGAUUGAUGGCUUUAAUCGAAUGCCUGUCACCUCUGUUGGCACGAAUACAACAGGGGUGAGUUGAUGAGCACAAUCAAUCACGACGCCUUUGCAAGCUCAGCUCAGCUCAACACGCUAAUCUCAUCAAUUGGGAAGGUUGGUUUGACAGUUACCUUUCCUAGUCCAUAUGGUAGAAAAGGGAAUUUUUUUGGGUUGUUCUGGAGCUAAACAUUUCUGUGUCGAAGCCUUCAAUUCAACAAAGAAAGGAGCUGAGAAUAUGAUCAAUGUGUAUUGGAAAGGCGCUCCAGAGAUGAUACUAGCAAUGUGCUCAUAUUAAUAUUAUGUCUCUCUGGAAACGUUAAAGCCCUGGAUGAUGUUGAAAGGAAGAAAUUUGAUCAAAUAAUUCAAGGUAUGGAAGCCAAAAAUCUCCGAUGCAUCGCUUUUGCACACAAGCAACUUCCAGAAGAGGCGAACAAAGAUGGAAAAACACACCGAAAGAUAAAAGAAAACUGCUUGAUCUUUUUGGGUAUGACAGGCCUCAAGGAUCUUUGUCGACCAGGUGUGAAGAAAGUUGUGAAAGCAUGUCAGUAUGCUGGAGUGAAACUCAAAAUGAUCACUGGCGACAAUGUUUUCACUGCUAGAGAGCAAUAUCCACUGUUUGUGGCCUAACGAGGGCAUGAAUAGUGAAAAAUGCAGCAACAACAAACAACAGCCAGACAAGAGGAAUAUGCAGAGAAUGAGGACAAAAGAGGGGGCAAAAAAAGAAAUGAACUCAAUAAGCCAACCAAUUGGCCAAAGACAUGGAGGCAAUUCUGAUACAGACCACUUGUUCCUGUGUAUGCCACACCUUCUACCAUAGCUCCACCAUUCAUGUCCUGGUUAGACCCAAAUAACCCACAUUAAGUGGCAAUAGCUCUAGCAGUGAAAACAUUGUCUCCAGUGAUCAUUUUGAUGUUCACUCCAGCAUACUGACAGGCUUCCACAACUUUCUUCACACCAGGUCGACAUAGAUCCUCAAGGCCUACCAACCCCAAAAGUAUCAAACAGUUGUCUUUUACCUUUUGGUGUUGUUAUUCCAUCUUCAUUCUCUUCUUCUCGAACUUGCUUGUGUGCAAAAGUGAUGCAUCGGAGGCCACUAGUUACCAUACCUUGAAUUAUUUGAUCAAAUUUCUUCCUUUCAACGUCAUCCAGGGUUUUGAUGUUUCUAGAGAUAUCAUAGUAAUACGAGCACAUUGCCAGUACCAUCUAUGCAGCCCAUUUCCAAUGUGCAUUGAUCUUAUUGUCAGCUUUCUUCCUAUGUAUCCAUGUUUAGUUCCAAAAUGGUCCAAGAAAGAAAGCUAUGAUGGGGUUAGAUUGUUGAGUCGGACUUGCAAAGGCGUUUGCUCGUUGGGAACACAACUAAUUGUGCUCAUCAACUCACCCUAUGUUGUGUCCAUGGUAACAGAGGUGACAAGCAUUUGAGCAGAGCCAUGGACACCUUAGUGCCAGAGAACAAGAAUGGAUUUUGGGGGUAGAUUAAAUUGUACGUGAUCACUUUCCCCUGUCAUGCUUGAUUCAUCAACUUGUAGCAAGUGCCCGUCUAUGAACAACCCGUUAGCUGGAACCUGGUCACCAAUCUUCAAGCAAAUGACAUCUCCAACAACAAUUUCGAAAAUUGGGAUUUGUUGCUUCCUACCAUUUCAUUUCAUAAAGUCAUAAACCAUAUCAUUUUAAGUUGUAAAACGUAGUCUUCUUCUUUUUUUCUUUUUUUCUUUUUUGUAUCUUUUACAAUCGUUAGUUGUAAAAUAGAAAUUUUCAUUCUAUUCAUGAAAUGAAGAGUAUGUAGAUA
This is a long non-coding RNA of Camellia sinensis, 2406 nucleotides long. RefSeq lists it as uncharacterized. NCBI's taxonomy places the organism in Eukaryota, Viridiplantae, Streptophyta, Magnoliopsida, Ericales, Theaceae. The record is from RefSeq and is a predicted model, not a curated record.